CUACGGGUCGCACCAGUGGGGAAUAUUGCACAAUGGAGGAAACUCUGAUGCAGCAACGCCGCGUGGAGGAUGACACUUUUCGGAGCGUAAACUCCUUUUAUCUAGGAAGAAGAUGACGGUACUAUAUGAAUAAGCGCCGGCUAACUCCGUGCCAGCAGCCGCGGUGAUACGGAGGGCGCAAGCGUUACUCGGAAUCACUGGGCGUAAAGAGCGUGUAGGCGGAUUAAAAAGUCAGAAGUGAAAUCCUAUAGCUUAACUAUAGAACUGCUUCUGAAACUCUUAAUCUAGAAUAUGGGAGAGGUAGAUGGAAUUUCUGGUGUAGGGGUAAAAUCCGUAGAGAUCAGAAGGAAUACCGAUUGCGAAGGCGAUCUACUAGAACAUUAUUGACGCUGAGACGCGAAAGCGUGGAGAGCAAACAGGAUUAGAUACCCUUGUAGUC
Molecule: ribosomal RNA, 439 nt
Filed under: uncultured bacterium
Lineage: Bacteria
Description: partial 16S ribosomal RNA
Rfam family: Bacterial small subunit ribosomal RNA
Source: RNAcentral